UCUUACUUAAGUGGAAAACGAUGUGAAGUUACUUAAACAACCAGGAGGUUGGCUUAGAAGCAGCCAUCCUUUAAAGAAAGCGUAAUAGCUCACUGGUCUAGUGAUUUUGCGCGGAAAAUAUAACGGGGCUAAAGUAAGUACCGAAGCUGUAGACUUGCACACAACUUAGAUUAUUUAAGUUUAGAAUAAGUAGUUUAAGUUGUGUGCAAGUGGUAGGAGAGCGUUCUAUUUGCGUCGAAGGUAUACCGGUAAGGAGUGCUGGAGCGAAUAGAAGUGAGCAUGCAGGCAUGAGUAGCGAUAAUUAAUGUGAGAAUCAUUAACGCCGUAAACCCAAGGUUUCCUACGCGAUGCUCGUCAUCGUAGGGUUAGUCGGGUCCUAAGUCGAGUCCGAAAGGGGUAGACGAUGGCAAAUUGGUUAAUAUUCCAAUACCAACAUUAGUGUGCGAUGGAAGGACGCUUAGGGCUAAGGGGGCUAGCGGAUGGAAGUGCUAGUCUAAGGUCGUAGGAGGUUAUACAGGCAAAUCCGUAUAACAAUACUCCGAGAACUGAAAGGCUUUUUGAAGUCUUCGGAUGGAUAGAAGAACCCCUGAUGCCGUCGAGCCAAGAAAAGUUUCUAAGUUUAGCUAAUGUUGCCCGUACCGUAAACCGACACAGGUGGGUGGGAUGAGUAUUCUAAGGCGCGUGGAAGAACUCUCUUUAAGGAACUCUGCAAAAUAGCACCGUAUCUUCGGUAUAAGGUGUGGUUAGCUUCGUACUAGGAUUUACUCCGAAAGCGA
This 776-nucleotide ribosomal RNA is filed under the name Campylobacter jejuni. RNAcentral describes it as "partial 23S ribosomal RNA". It matches the Rfam family "Bacterial large subunit ribosomal RNA", at positions 1053 to 1785 of the family's 2925-position model. The record is from RNAcentral. Lineage: Bacteria; Pseudomonadati; Campylobacterota; Epsilonproteobacteria; Campylobacterales; Campylobacteraceae.